UGCAUUCACUACUGUAAGUCACUCUGGAUAAGAGCGUCUGCUAAAUGACAAAUG
Non-coding RNA from Salmo salar (Atlantic salmon), 54 nucleotides. The record is from Rfam. Lineage: Eukaryota; Metazoa; Chordata; Actinopteri; Salmoniformes; Salmonidae.